This 102-nucleotide transfer RNA is filed under the name Coprinopsis cinerea okayama7#130. Its description in RNAcentral is "tRNA-Ser". The record is from RNAcentral. RNAcentral also lists the same sequence under 1 other name. Lineage: Eukaryota; Fungi; Basidiomycota; Agaricomycetes; Agaricales; Psathyrellaceae.
GUCACUUUGCCGGAGUGGUUAACGGGAUCGCCUGCUAUUGGCCUCAGGGCCAGGCAAAGCGGUUGGUCUUUGACCGCGAGUGUUCGAAUCGCUCAGGUGACG